CGCCUGAGGCUGCGAACGUGCAGGUCGGGCUGGUCGGUUAUGCGGGACGAAGCACAGGAACCUCCGUCCGGUGCGGCGUGUGAGCUUUCGGGAACAGGGAACUGAGGGUGGUCAGAAGCCACCCGCUCAGCGCGUUCUGGUUUCUGGCCAACCUGCCGGCAGCUCGAGGCUUCCCUCUGCUGGGCAAGUUUGGGAACACACCGAAAAGUCAUUGCCCAGUAUUGUCUUCCCUCCUCGCUCCAGAAGAAUCAGCUUAUUGUCUCUAAGAAGGGUCCCCUUAGCCUCAGAUUUCAUUCAAAGUCUUACCUUCUGA
Molecule: long non-coding RNA, 313 nt
Filed under: Ursus maritimus (polar bear)
Lineage: Eukaryota; Metazoa; Chordata; Mammalia; Carnivora; Ursidae
Description: lncRNA (ENSUMAG00000020835.1)
Source: RNAcentral